Molecule: long non-coding RNA, 1135 nt
Organism: Paramacrobiotus metropolitanus
Lineage: Eukaryota; Metazoa; Tardigrada; Eutardigrada; Parachela; Macrobiotidae
Exons: 4
Source: RefSeq, a predicted model, not a curated record
UUCUGACAACGCCCAUGAAAUAUAAAUAGAUUUAAACACAUCUUGAUUUUUGAAAGUUAAUGUUCUUUGUUGCACUAAAUUCCUCUAACUGUCCAACAACUUAAAGUUUUGUGAUAUUUCAACAAUCUGCGUACCACUUAACAUAAUUUUCGAGAUGACAACCUGGAUUUUAGCAAUAAUUGUGAUUGUGUCGCUGUACUGUCAUCAUGCCACAAUUAUUUCCAGUGUCCGAGCAGCACCGAAUCCGGCUUCAAAUGACAAUAACAACGUCCUGAAAGCACCCGAAUCAGCUCGACAGCAGAUUUCCAACACGUCUUCAGCCAGUGCUGGAGAAGGAAACUCAUCUUCUAACCAGUCUUCGGAACUGGCGAAGGAGAUCCAGUUGAUGAAGAAAUACAUGACUGAAAACCUGACUUUGAAUUUAUUAAGCUUGAAUUCAAGCAUUCGCGAAGUGUAAACAGGACUAGACGCUGUUAAACUAAGCGUGCUGAAAUGCGCCCCAAAAAGAGGCUCCUCGGAGUGGCCCGUUGGAAUCAUGAAGGUGGACAGCCACCUUUACUCUGACGAAAAGUUCUGUUCGGAAACCGGCAAAUUUUGCUUGCAUCUUCAAAACUCCGGGAACUUAGUACUUUACGACACCAAGACCUACAGGGUCAUAUGGAACUCAAGAAUAGUUCUUGGAUAUUUUUGUGAUUCAGAUCUAACGGUGCAAGGAGAUGGAGCUGUGGGUCUAUACAUCAGAGGUGCCUUGGUAUGAGUUGGUGGUGUUGCCGGUGAAAAGCAAGGGAACACUUUUGUAUCUACAUCAGGACGCGAGUUGUACUUCCAGCCAGAUGGACACCUGUGCUUGCGGUAUCCUUCCAACUCCGGCAAAACUCAAAGUUGUGCAUGGUCCACUUACAAAAUGGAACGCGAAAUUCCUGCCAUUGCCAUACAAGGUUUGCGAGUUGGAAACGUUAAUUCUUCCACGGGAGGCCGGCUAAUUGAAAAUCCCCUUUCUCUCAUGUGGCUUAGCUUAAUACCAUGUAUAACCAUUCUGCAUUACCAUUUUGAUUAGCACUGCUUUAGGCAAUCUAUCACAUUUCUUGCCGUUCAGGUGAUGAACCGAACAAACUGCGUGGUUUCUUGUAAUAAA